This 303-nucleotide ribosomal RNA is filed under the name uncultured bacterium. RNAcentral describes it as "partial 16S ribosomal RNA". It matches the Rfam family "Bacterial small subunit ribosomal RNA", at positions 507 to 807 of the family's 1533-position model. The record is from RNAcentral.
AGCAGUCGCCGCGGGAAUACGGAGGGUGCAAGCGUUAUCCGGAUUUAUUGGGUUUAAAGGGUCCGUAGGCGGAUCUGUAAGUCAGUGGUGAAAUCUCACAGCUUAACUGUGAAACUGCCAUUGAUACUGCAGGUCUUGAGUAAAUUUGAAGUGGCUGGAAUAAGUAGUGUAGCGGUGAAAUGCAUAGAUAUUACUUAGAACACCAAUUGCGAAGGCAGGUCACUAAGAUUUAACUGACGCUGAUGGACGAAAGCGUGGGGAGCGAACAGGAUUAGAUACCCGUGUAGUCCCUGUCUCUUAUAC